UACGAAGGGGGCUAGCGUUGUUCGGAAUUACUGGGCGUAAAGCGCGCGCAGGCGGUCUUCCAAGUCAGUGGUGAAAGCCCGGAGCUCAACUCCGGAACUGCCAUUGAAACUGUAAGACUUGAGGAUGAGAGAGGUGAGUGGAAUUCCCAGUGUAGAGGUGAAAUGCGUAGAUAUCGGGAGGAACACCAGUGGCGAAGGCGACUACCUGGCCUGUUCUUGACGCUGAGGCGCGAAAGCUAGGGGAGCAAACGGG
This 253-nucleotide ribosomal RNA is filed under the name uncultured bacterium. RNAcentral's name for it is "partial 16S ribosomal RNA". It matches the Rfam family "Bacterial small subunit ribosomal RNA", at positions 524 to 776 of the family's 1533-position model. The record is from RNAcentral.